UAUCCGAAUGCAGAAUGUUUUCCGGUUCCUCAGGAGGAAAAUGCAAGAGGUGCGUUCCCUCAUCCUUCUCAAAGGCUAGGUUAGCUAACAGAUCGGCACACCGGUUCCUUUCUCUCCAUUUCUCUCAUUUUUGAAGGAGACGACAAGCCACUUCACGUCUACUUCCACGAUGAGAUUUCUGGCGUUUAGGGCUUUGGCAAGAAUUAGCCCCUAUCUUAAUCCCUAAAUUUCAGCUCCAUCGGUAUUUAGGAUCCAUGAUCAUCUGGGCGGUCGUCUCCACUUCACCCAUCUCGGCUCCUUGGUGAUAUUCGAUUGUAAGUUCUCUAAAGCAAUUUUGAUGAUUUUGGCUAGGUUAAGGCUGUAUUGCAUAAUUUCUGUUGGGUUCCUAGUACUGUUCUUGAAGAUUUUAUUGUUUCUCUCCUUCCUUAACCCUCAAAUAAUUGUUGUGAAAAGAAUUCCCCAGCUGAUUCCUUCAAAACUCGUUCUUUUGGAAGUACUGUUUUUCUGUAGUCUUCUUUAAAAUCGCUUAAUUCAAAAUGUGGAUCUCCUUGAUGAGCAGCAGUUUUCUCCCAAACAGAUUUUACUGUAGUACAUCUUCUGAACAAGUGAUCUAAGCUUUCAAUUUCGUCCUGGCAGCUAUUACAAUUUGGAUUUUGGGUCAUCUUUUUCUCGAAUCUCAUUUGUAUUCAACCUGUUAAGGAUGCAUAGCCAAAUAAACAUUCUUAUGUGUUCAGUGGUUUCCAAUCUCCAAAUCCAAUCAAGCUUUUGCGACUGCUGUUCCUGUGGAAUUUUAUUAAAAAUAUAUCUAAAAGCAGAUUUCACUGUAAACUUUCCAUCUUUUGAAUAACCCCAACCGAUAACAUCUGAAUUGCUUCUCUGAUUAGUCAUAGGUAGUGGAAUGCUUCUGAUCUGAUUUACUGUCUCAGUCGAAACUAAGUUUUAUAACUCCAUGAUUUUCCAAUUAUUAUCCUCCGGUAUAGGUUUCUCUUUCUGGAUAAUCAUUGAUGAGAGCUGAUGAUCCCACCCACCAAUCAUGCCAAAGCCUAGUCUGAUCUCCAGAUCUUAUUUGAUGUUUACAGCCUCGUUUCACAAUAUCACGGGUUUUAAGGAUACCUUUCCAAGUCGAAGAGCUUGUAGAGCGAUUUUCAGCUUCCAUGAAAUUUUUGUUUUUUAGAUAUUUCUCUUUGAAAAUUCUAGUCCACAAAGUGUCUUGGUCUUUAAACAUCCGCCAGUUGUUCUUCGCCAUUAAGGCUAGAUUCAUCUGUCUUGUCUUGCUUAUCCCCAGUCCCCCAACUGUUUUAGAUCUGCACAGUGUCCCAGCUGACUAAAUGGUUGUGGGAGUAUUCGGUAUUCCCACCCUAAAGAAAAUUUCGGUUGAUUUUGUCAAGUUUUUCACAAGUAGCCAAUGGAAGAAUAGUAGAUUGCAUGGUGUGAAUAGGUAUCGCACCCGUGGUAGAUUGCACUAAUGUUCUACGACCAGAUAGAGACAAUACCUUUCCUUUCCAACCCGGGAGGGGAGCUUCUUCAUGACUUUUUCAAUUAGAGCCUUAGAGGUGUGUAGGUUUUGGAGUUGGCCCUUUUGUGAAGAAUAGGUACCCCUAAAUAAACUCCCAAAUGGUUAUGCUAUUUAAAGGGUUAAAUUUUAUUUUCUAAGUUUAAGGAAUACACUAAUUAUUUUUUCUCAAAAGUUUGAGAGUC
Long non-coding RNA from Hibiscus syriacus, 1698 nucleotides. RefSeq lists it as uncharacterized. The record is from RefSeq and is a predicted model, not a curated record. The transcript is spliced from 3 exons. NCBI's taxonomy places the organism in Eukaryota, Viridiplantae, Streptophyta, Magnoliopsida, Malvales, Malvaceae.